Molecule: long non-coding RNA, 2097 nt
Filed under: Nicotiana tabacum (common tobacco)
Lineage: Eukaryota; Viridiplantae; Streptophyta; Magnoliopsida; Solanales; Solanaceae
Description: long non-coding RNA (NTAB_LNC014211)
Source: RNAcentral
GGUGCAUUCAUGUUGAGUUCUUAGCGUCUUCUGCUUUUUCCAACUGCAUAGAACAAUGAGCUGAGUUAAUGCACACGUUCAACUUAAAACUGACCAUAACCGAUGUAGUAGAAACCGGUAGAAAAAACAAAUCGCCGUGCAAAUUUAACUUACAAUCUGAUAGAACAAAAAAAACAUGCCAUCCUUAGCUCUUUGAUUUUGAGUGCUUAACAAGCCAAUCACCGGUUGAGUCAAUAUUGAGCCAAUCACCUCUUUUCCUUUUAUUGAAAAGGUAGGCCGAGUAGAUGAUUAAAGGAGUCAACUUAGAAUGCAAGUGUAGACUGUGUUAGAAGGCAAGUUUCCAAUUUCAGCUUAAGGUUUGUUUGCUUCAUUCAAUUUUUUCAUAUGCCCAAUAGAAGAAAUGAAAAUCCACCUCUAAAUGUUGCAACACUCUAUGAGAUAAAGACACUGAAUAUCAUAUUAUGUUAAGUUCCUGGCACACUUCGUCCCAUGAAUAUCCUUUCUUCUUUGCUCCCUUCAAACUUAACCCUUGGCAUUUGCAAUAUUACAUCUUUGAUGGCUAUGUGGAUUCAAUGGCAGGCUAGUCUGAAUAGAAAAUUUACUACCUAUGCAAAAUAGAUAAUUUAGUAAGUGUCUUCAAGAUUUAAUCACAAUUCCUUUUUUUUCCUUUUUGUAAUGACCAAAGGACAUCAUCAGUACAAGCAUGAGCGUGACCCCAAAGUACCUGAAAUGCAGCAGUAAAAAGCUUUUAUUUAGUGUCACAUUAGAUGAAAAAGUAAUGUCAAGAUUCAGAGUGUCGCUCCUGGAAAAAAAACUAUCGAAGUCUAACCGUAAAAAAAAAUAUCAAUCAAAAUGCUCGACCAACAGGAAUUAAUCUCCACACCCCUAUUACACAAUAUGUUGCACAUGGUACAUUAGCCACCAAAAAGCAUAGGGAGCAAAAUAGGGUUAAUGCCACAUUUAACUGUGGAAUGGAAUAGAAAUAGUUGUAUGCUCUGUAUUGGAGAAAUCCUUGGUAAGAAACGCUUUCCCAAAUAGGCCCUAUGCGACGCGAAUCCGGAUUAGUCGUAUUCCAAUGUGUGUACCGAAUACCGAAUUAAAAAAAAUGGAGAUUCACUAGCAAGAGUAACGUGUUAAACAAUUUGUUCUAUUUAUUCCUAUUUAACUACUUACAACUUUUGAUCUAGUUGAAUGACUGUUUAGUUUAACAUAUUAGAGAGCAGAUGAUGACUCAAAUAUAUAUCAGACAACAUUAACUCAGGGUAAUUCUAGAAUAAAAAGAAGUGAACUCGUAACAUGAAUGAGAUUACCCCAUCGAUAUGCACUCAUAAGAUCCUUGACCAACAAAAUCCAGUUGAACGUUUUAUUAGAAAUUACUACCUUGAUGAGCUACUUGUAUCCUACUUCCAACAUCUGAUGGCAAUAGUUGCACCCACGUAAUCAAUGGCAAAGAUACUUGAUUGAGUUCUUGAUGUUCAGUUGCAUUCGUUCGCUAUUGAACAAGCCUGUAGCAUAUUAAAAAGAUUACACAUAUUCAGAAGCUUCUUACUUGUUCUAAAGCCAGGCUGAAUCACAAUGCACAUCCUACCAUCUAACAAGGCAUAUAAAAAUGCUCCGCGAAACAGGACGGAUGAAUGCUGGAUCCCGUUGUGAAUACAUCAGACCGACUAAAAAAAGUAACUACAAUAUUCAGAUAGUGUAGUAGGUGGAGUGUUGAUAGUUUAGUUCUUUUGAUAUCUCAAGUUCCUCUUAAAGCAACUACUUGGCAGGUCUUUCUUUUGUUGAUAAGUCUACCGUGCAGGUCCCUAUUUACACUCUUUUGCGGAAUUUUUCUUAUACUUCUAGAACUACAGGAAAGUAUCUUGUGAAGAAAAUCAAAAUCAGGUUUGAUUCUGUAAGCACAGAAGAAAGCAUGUAGCUGCUGAUAUUUUACAAGUGUCAGUUUUAAGAUAACUAGGAAUUUUUUAAGAUGGGAAACUUUAAAACAUUCACUCUAUGGAUAUCCAUAUUCCUUCCAAUCUUCACAUCCAGUAGCGUGACCUUCAACUCUUGCUGCCUGAUUCAUACAAGGAGCUCUCUUAUUACUUGAAAGUGUUA